AUGGUUGAGGAGUGUAGGAAAAGGUCGGAGAAUCUUAAAUCUUCCCCUAUGGGUACAAGCAACCCAAAGAGAUAUCAUGAGGAUUUCAUCCUCAAAGGGAAAAAAAUGUUAGUUGAGGAGUCUGCUAUGGAUUCUCCAUAUGCCAAGGCUCAAAGAUUUGAAAAAGGUCCCCCUUCUAUCAUCGUCAAGACGGCAGUGGCGACGCACUCUGCAAAAAGGGCUCCUUUGGAUCCCACGUCAUGA
This is a non-coding RNA of Vicia faba (fava bean), 243 nucleotides long. Lineage: Eukaryota; Viridiplantae; Streptophyta; Magnoliopsida; Fabales; Fabaceae. The record is from the annotation of a GenBank genome assembly.